RNAcentral lists this ribosomal RNA (374 nucleotides) under uncultured organism. RNAcentral's name for it is "partial 16S ribosomal RNA". It matches the Rfam family "Bacterial small subunit ribosomal RNA", at positions 527 to 896 of the family's 1533-position model. The record is from RNAcentral.
GUAGGGGGCAAGCGUUGUCCGGAAUUAUUGGGCGUAAAGCGCGCGCAGGCGGUCUCUUAAGUCUGAUGUGAAAGCCCACGGCUCAACCGUGGAGAGUCAUUGGAAACUGGGAGACUUGAGUGUAGGUGAGGAAAGUGGAAUUCCACGUGUAGCGGUGAAAUGCGUAGAUAUGUGGAGGAACACCAGUAGGCGAAGGCGACUUUCUGGCCUACAACUGACGCUGAGGCGCGAAAGCGUGGGGGGAGCAAACAGGAUUAGAUACCUGGUAGUCCACGCUGUAAACGAUGAGUGCUAGGUGUUAGGGGGUUUCGAUGCCCUUAGUGCCGAAGUUAACACAUUAAGCACUCCGCCCUGGGAGUACGGCCGCAAGGCUG